Non-coding RNA from Pelobates cultripes (western spadefoot toad), 459 nucleotides. The record is from the annotation of a GenBank genome assembly. NCBI's taxonomy places the organism in Eukaryota, Metazoa, Chordata, Amphibia, Anura, Pelobatidae.
CUCCACUUGACGCGUUUCGCCCUAAACAGGGCUUCCUCAGAAGUUUACCGAUCGGCAAAUUCAGUCCUUGGUUUGGAUGUUUAAAAUAUUGGUCAGGAUUUUAACAAUCUGGCCCCUAUUUUAAUAAUUCAGAAGUGAGUUUUAGCCGUCCAGUCCCUGAAAUCUGGACAGACACAAUUCUGUCUCAUUUGUAGCCAGUAUUGCAAAAUCUGGACUUUGUUUAAUUAGUAUGAACAUUUUUAUUGUCUGAAUGGCCGGAUUCUGCUGUCCGAAUGCCUUAACGGCAAAUCUGGACAUGGAGCAUUCAGACUUUCAUAAAUAACCCCUGGUUCUGGAAAUGUCUCGUAGACUAACAAAUAUGGACAAAUUAACAAUUUUCCUUCUUUCUUGAUCAGUUUUGUGUCUCAGAAAUACAGAAAACCUGCCUGAACAAUGAAAUAUAUGGUAAGUGACUCUUUG